Molecule: ribosomal RNA, 306 nt
Filed under: uncultured bacterium
Lineage: Bacteria
Description: partial 16S ribosomal RNA
Rfam family: Bacterial small subunit ribosomal RNA
Source: RNAcentral
GACAGCAGUAGCCGCGGUAAUGCGAAGGGGGCUAGCGUUGUUCGGAUUUACUGGGCGUAAAGCGCACGUAGGCGGCUUUGUAAGUUAGAGGUGAAAGCCCGGAGCUCAACUCCGGAAUUGCCUUUAAGACUGCAGAGCUAGCAGGUGAGAGAGGUGAGUGGAAUUCCGAGUGUAGAGGUGAAAUUCGUAGAUAUUCGGAAGAACACCAGUGGCGAAGGCGGCUCACUGGCUCAUACUGGACGCUGAGGUGCGAAAGCGUGGGGAGCAAACAGGAUUAGAGACCCCUGUAGUCCCUGUCUCUUAUAC